GUUGUGUUCAGCUGAUUGGAGUCCUGGUUUUCCCUCCAUUUCUGCUUUAGCUCAUGGCUCUGACACACAACAGUGUAGCUGUAUGAGCUACACCUGGAAAGUGAAAAUCUAGGAGAUUCUCCAGUUUCCAGCGGGAUGUUCUGGGGUCAGGCAGCUUGUUCAGACUUUGAGGAAGGAACUGAUGGCGGCCAAGCUCAUAGACUUCAAGAGGAAUGGAAGCCACCAGAGCAGCUUCACGACAGACAGGUUACCCAGCAACGCUGGAGAGUCAGGGAUGGAAGCAGAUGAAGGACGUGCUGUCAUUCCAGGGGCCACACAGGCUGUGAAGAGAGAUCCUCCGUGUCUCGGACCACUGAAGCACUCUGUGCACAGGGUUCAUGUGGGCCAGCACAGCUCUCUCUCCAGAAGGGGCUGCACCGUCAUGUCCCACCACUUGCCGUCCUGCGUCUGGAGACACUUCUGA
This 463-nucleotide long non-coding RNA is filed under the name Mustela putorius furo (domestic ferret). RNAcentral describes it as "lncRNA (ENSMPUG00000031353.1)". The record is from RNAcentral. Lineage: Eukaryota; Metazoa; Chordata; Mammalia; Carnivora; Mustelidae.